CACGUAGGGGGCGAGCGUUGUCCGGAUUUAUUGGGCGUAAAGAGCUCGUAGGCGGCUAAGUAAGUCGGGUGUGAAAACUCCAGGCUCAACCUGGAGACGCCACCUGAUACUGCUUUGGCUAGAGUCCGGUAGGGGAGCAUGGAAUUCCUGGUGUAGCGGUGAAAUGCGCAGAUAUCUGGAGGAACACCGGUGGCGAAGGCGGCAUCCUGGACCGGUAUUGACGCUGAGGCGCGAAAGCUAGGGGAGCAAACGGG
Molecule: ribosomal RNA, 254 nt
Filed under: uncultured bacterium
Lineage: Bacteria
Description: partial 16S ribosomal RNA
Rfam family: Bacterial small subunit ribosomal RNA
Source: RNAcentral